AUCGCUUCUCAGCCUUUUGGCUAAGAUCAAGUGUAGAAGAAAGGUUGUUGAAUUUCCCAGAUACUAAUACAUAAAAUAUUGUAUAUUAAAUAUAUAAAGAUAUUCAGAAAGGUUAUCAAUGGCUUGCUGUAUAGCAAUCAGCAUAAAGUAUUCCAUUUUUAAAACUGUUUUUGCAAUAUUU
Molecule: small nuclear RNA, 181 nt
Organism: Oryctolagus cuniculus (rabbit)
Lineage: Eukaryota; Metazoa; Chordata; Mammalia; Lagomorpha; Leporidae
Gene: U2
Rfam family: U2 spliceosomal RNA
About the family: U2 is a small nuclear RNA (snRNA) component of the spliceosome (involved in pre-mRNA splicing). Complementary binding between U2 snRNA (in an area lying towards the 5' end but 3' to hairpin I) and the branchpoint sequence (BPS) of the intron results the bulging out of an unpaired adenosine, on the BPS, which initiates a nucleophilic attack at the intronic 5' splice site, thus starting the first of two transesterification reactions that mediate splicing.
Source: Ensembl